UAGUAUCUGUUCUUAUCAGUUUAAUAUCUGAUAUGUCCUCCAGUGGAGGACAACAUAUUAAGCCGAUUUUUGAAAAACGGAUGUGAAGGUGGAGCUUGCUCUUAGUAGACAAGCGCUAUUAAACCGU
Molecule: small nuclear RNA, 127 nt
Filed under: Oryzias latipes (Japanese medaka)
Lineage: Eukaryota; Metazoa; Chordata; Actinopteri; Beloniformes; Adrianichthyidae
Description: U2 spliceosomal RNA (ENSORLG00020008848.1)
Rfam family: U2 spliceosomal RNA
About the family: U2 is a small nuclear RNA (snRNA) component of the spliceosome (involved in pre-mRNA splicing).
Source: RNAcentral